This 484-nucleotide ribosomal RNA is filed under the name uncultured bacterium. RNAcentral's name for it is "partial 16S ribosomal RNA". It matches the Rfam family "Bacterial small subunit ribosomal RNA", at positions 30 to 507 of the family's 1533-position model. The record is from RNAcentral.
AUUGAACGCUGGCGGCAGGCCUAACACAUGCAAGUCGAGCGGAUGAAGGGAGCUUGCUCCUGGAUUCAGCGGCGGACGGGUGAGUAAUGCCUAGGAAUCUGCCUGGUAGUGGGGGAUAACGUCCGGAAACGGGCGCUAAUACCGCAUACGUCCUGAGGGAGAAUGUGGGGGAUCUUCGGACCUCACGCUAUCAGAUGAGCCUAGGUCGGAUUAGCUAGUUGGUGGGGUAAAGGCCUACCAAGGCGACGAUCCGUAACUGGUCUGAGAGGAUGAUCAGUCACACUGGAACUGAGACACGGUCCAGACUCCUACGGGAGGCAGCAGUGGGGAAUAUUGGACAAUGGGCGAAAGCCUGAUCCAGCCAUGCCGCGUGUGUGAAGAAGGUCUUCGGAUUGUAAAGCACUUUAAGUUGGGAGGAAGGGCAGUAAGUUAAUACCUUGCUGUUUUGACGUUACCAACAGAAUAAGCACCGGCUAACUUCGUG